Molecule: ribosomal RNA, 536 nt
Filed under: Escherichia coli
Lineage: Bacteria; Pseudomonadati; Pseudomonadota; Gammaproteobacteria; Enterobacterales; Enterobacteriaceae
Description: bacterial LSU rRNA
Rfam family: Bacterial large subunit ribosomal RNA
Source: RNAcentral
CAUAGUGAUCCGGUGGUUCUGAAUGGAAGGGCCAUCGCUCAACGGAUAAAAGGUACUCCGGGGAUAACAGGCUGAUACCGCCCAAGAGUUCAUAUCGACGGCGGUGUUUGGCACCUCGAUGUCGCUCAUCACAUCCUGGGGCUGAAGUAGGUCCCAAGGGUAUGGCUGUUCGCCAUUUAAAGUGGUACGCGAGCUGGGUUAGAACGUCGUGAGACAGUUCGGUCCCUAUCUGCCGUGGGCGCUGGAGAACUGAGGGGGGCUGCUCCUAGUACGAGAGGACCGGAGUGGACGCAUCACUGGUGUUCGGGUUGUCAUGCCAAUGGCACUGCCCGGUAGCUAAAUGCGGAAGAGAUAAGUGCUGAAAGCAUCUAAGCACGAAACUUGCCCCGAGAUGAGUUCUCCCUGACUCCUUGAGAGUCCUGAAGGAACGUUGAAGACGACGACGUUGAUAGGCCGGGUGUGUAAGCGCAGCGAUGCGUUGAGCUAACCGGUACUAAUGAACCGUGAGGCUUAACCUUACAACGCCGAAGGUGUUU